Molecule: ribosomal RNA, 254 nt
Filed under: uncultured bacterium
Lineage: Bacteria
Description: partial 16S ribosomal RNA
Rfam family: Bacterial small subunit ribosomal RNA
Source: RNAcentral
UACGUAGGGGCAAGCGUUGUCCGGAUUUAUUGGGCGUAAAGAGCGUGUAGGCGGCCUGAAAGGUCAGCUGUGAAAACUCGAGGCUCAACCUCGAGACGUCGGUUGAAACCAUCUGGCUAGAGUCCGGAAGAGGAGUGUGGAAUUCCCGGUGUAGCGGUGAAAUGCGCAGAUAUCGGGAAGAACACCCGUGGCGAAGGCGGCACUCUGGGACGGUACUGACGCUGAGACGGCGAAAAGCGUGGGGAGCGAACAGG